ACUCCUACGGGAGGCAGCAGUGGGGAAUAUUGCACAAUGGGGGAAACCCUGAUGCAGCCAUGCCGCGUGUGUGAAGAAGGCCUUCGGGUUGUAAAGCACUUUCAGUAGGGAGGAAGGUAGUGUAGUUAACACCUGCAUUAUUUGUACGUUACCUACAGAAGAAGCACCGGCUAACUCCGUGCCAGCAGCCGCGGUAAUACGGAGGGUGCGAGCGUUAAUCGGAAUUACUGGGCGUAAAGCGCAUGCAGGCGGCCUGUUAAGUCAGAUGUGAAAGCCCGGGGCUUAACCGUCGGAAUUGCAUUUGAAACUGGCAGGCUAGAGUCUUGUAGAGGGGUUAGAAUUUCAGGUGUAGCGGUGAAAUGCGUAGAGAUCUGAAGG
This 378-nucleotide ribosomal RNA is filed under the name uncultured bacterium. Its description in RNAcentral is "bacterial SSU rRNA". It matches the Rfam family "Bacterial small subunit ribosomal RNA", at positions 335 to 704 of the family's 1533-position model. The record is from RNAcentral.